GGAUGUGAGGGCGAUCUGGUUGCGACAUCUGUCAUCCCAUUGAUCACCAGGGUUGAUUCAGCUGAUCUGGCUGGCUAGACAGGUGUCCCCUUCCUCCCUCACCACUCCAUGUGCAUCCCUCCGAAAGGUGCAUGCUCAGUUGAAGAGGACGACCAUCCCCAAUAGAGGAGGACCGUUCUUCUCCAUCAAGUGUAUACGAGUAGCUGCGCUUCCCUGCUAGAGCCUCCAAACAAGCUCUCAAGAAAUCUGGAGAUCAGCUUUUUUAGUUGAUGUGGUGGCUUGGUGAUAGCAUCAGGAAUGCAGGUUGUCCCCAUUUUUCUAU
Vicugna pacos (alpaca) is the source of this 322-nucleotide unclassified non-coding RNA. Its record names the gene 7SK. It matches the Rfam family "7SK RNA". From Rfam's summary of the family: 7SK was discovered as an abundant small nuclear RNA in the mid-70s but a possible function has only recently been suggested. Two independent studies have found that 7SK RNA binds the CDK9/cyclin T complex (known as elongation factor P-TEFb). NCBI's taxonomy places the organism in Eukaryota, Metazoa, Chordata, Mammalia, Artiodactyla, Camelidae. The record is from Ensembl.